CGUGUAGGCGGGUGUUUAAGUCAGGGGUGAAAUGCCGAGGCUCAACCUUGGAACUGCCUUUGAUACUGGGCAUCUCGAGUCCGGGAGAGGUGAGUGGAACUGCGAGUGUAGAGGUGAAAUUCGUAGAUAUUCGCAAGAACACCAGUGGCGAAGGCGGCUCACUGGCCCGGAACUGACGCUGAGACGCGAAAGCGUGGGGAGCAAACAGGAUUAGAUACCCUGGUAGUCCACGCUGUAAACGAUGGAUGCUAGCCGUUGGGGAGCUUGCUCUUCAGUGGCGCCGCUAACGCUUUAAGCAUCCCGCCUGGGGAGUACGGUCGCAAGAUUAAA
RNAcentral lists this ribosomal RNA (330 nucleotides) under uncultured bacterium. Its description in RNAcentral is "bacterial SSU rRNA". It matches the Rfam family "Bacterial small subunit ribosomal RNA", at positions 568 to 898 of the family's 1533-position model. The record is from RNAcentral.